AUCGCUUCUAGGCCUUUUGGCUAAGAUCAAGUGUAGAAACUGGAUAUGGAGGUGAAAAAGAAAAGAACCAGGGACAAAAGUAUAUGAAGUAUAUGAAAGCAUUUAGCUUAAUCUUUAUAGAGACACAUUGCUCUUUAGACGUCCGAUGUUACUUCUUCAAUAAAAGAGAAAAUCCUUU
Molecule: small nuclear RNA, 178 nt
Filed under: Erinaceus europaeus (western European hedgehog)
Lineage: Eukaryota; Metazoa; Chordata; Mammalia; Eulipotyphla; Erinaceidae
Description: U2 spliceosomal RNA
Rfam family: U2 spliceosomal RNA
About the family: U2 is a small nuclear RNA (snRNA) component of the spliceosome (involved in pre-mRNA splicing). Complementary binding between U2 snRNA (in an area lying towards the 5' end but 3' to hairpin I) and the branchpoint sequence (BPS) of the intron results the bulging out of an unpaired adenosine, on the BPS, which initiates a nucleophilic attack at the intronic 5' splice site, thus starting the first of two transesterification reactions that mediate splicing.
Source: Rfam by way of RNAcentral